Molecule: long non-coding RNA, 200 nt
Filed under: Elaeis guineensis (African oil palm)
Lineage: Eukaryota; Viridiplantae; Streptophyta; Magnoliopsida; Arecales; Arecaceae
Description: long non-coding RNA (EGUI_LNC064332)
Source: RNAcentral
ACCUGCGUGCAAUGUGCGGGGGCAAAACUAGUAGUACUAUAUUAUUAGUGCCUUCAUUUUCAAAGAAAAAGAAAUAUGAUAUUAUAGUUUUUGUUUAGUGGGGAUGGUAAUGAAUAGGGUAUGGAUCAAAUCGAUCAAAAUUUAUACCUAUCUCAUAAUUACAAUCCUCAAACCUAUACUUUUGCUGAAUUGGGGUUGAA